CCUACGGGUGGCAGCAGUGAGGAAUAUUGGUCAAUGGGCGCGAGCCUGAACCAGCCAAGUCGCGUGAGGGAAGACGGUCCUAUGGAUUGUAAACCUCUUUUGUCAGGGAGCAAAAGACGCCACGCGUGGCGUUCCGAGAGUACCCGAAGAAAAAGCAUCGGCUAACUCCGUGCCAGCAGCCGCGGUAAUACGGAGGAUGCGAGCGUAAUCAGGAUGUAUUGGGUUAAAAGGGUGCGCAGGCGGAAGAUCAAGUCAGCGGUAAAAUUGAGGGGUUCAACCUCUCCGAGCCGUUGAAACUGGUUUUCUUGAGUGAGCGAGAGGUAUGCGGAAUGCGUGGUGUAGCGGUGAAAUGCAUAGAUAUCACGCAGAACUCCGAUUGCGAAGGCAGCAUACCGGCGCUCAACUGACGCUCAUGCACGAAAGUGUGGGUAUCGAACAGGAUUAGAUACCCUUGUAGUC
This 459-nucleotide ribosomal RNA is filed under the name uncultured bacterium. RNAcentral's name for it is "partial 16S ribosomal RNA". It matches the Rfam family "Bacterial small subunit ribosomal RNA", at positions 338 to 795 of the family's 1533-position model. The record is from RNAcentral.